CCUACGGGAGGCAGCAGUAGGGAAUAUUGCUCAAUGGGGGAAACCCUGAAGCAGCCACGCCGCGUGGAGGAUGAAGGUUUUAGGAUUGUAAACUCCUUUUGUUAGAGAAGAUUAUGACGGUAUCUAACGAAUAAGCACCGGCUAACUCCGUGCCAGCAGCCGCGGUAAUACGGAGGGUGCAAGCGUUACUCGGAAUCACUGGGCGUAAAGAGUGCGUAGGCGGGGUAAUAAGUCAGAUGUGAAAUCCUGUAGCUUAACUACAGAACUGCAUUUGAAACUGUUACUCUGGAGUGUGGGAGAGGUAGGUGGAAUGCGUGGUGUAGGGGUAAAAUGCGUAGAGAUCAAGAGGAAUACUGAUUGCGAAGGCGACCUGCUGGAACAUUACUGACGCUGAUGCACGAAAGCGUGGGGAGCAAACAGGAUUAGAUACCCUUGUAGUC
Molecule: ribosomal RNA, 440 nt
Filed under: uncultured bacterium
Lineage: Bacteria
Description: partial 16S ribosomal RNA
Rfam family: Bacterial small subunit ribosomal RNA
Source: RNAcentral